RNAcentral lists this transfer RNA (69 nucleotides) under Mytilus edulis (blue mussel). Its description in RNAcentral is "tRNA-Met". RNAcentral also lists the same sequence under 1 other name. The record is from RNAcentral. Lineage: Eukaryota; Metazoa; Mollusca; Bivalvia; Mytilida; Mytilidae.
GAUAAAGUGUUCUAACAUUAGGAUAUAGGGCUCAUGCCCCUAAGGCGCCGUGAGUAACGGCCUUUAUCU